CUACAUAUGUCCCGAGUGUUACCCGGAAUAAUUGGGUGUAAAGGGUUCGUAGGCGGAUAAGAAAGUUGGACAUGAAAGACCAAGGCUCAACCUUGUGUUUGUAUCCAAAACUCCUUAUCUAGAAUUAGCGAGAGGUAAGCGGAAUUCUAAGUGUAGGGGUGCAAUCCGUAGAUACUUAGAGGAACACCGAAAGCGAAGGCAGCUUACUGGAACUAUAUUGACGCUGAGGAACGAAAGCGUGGGUAGCGAAAAGAAUUAGAAACCCUUGUAGUCC
Molecule: ribosomal RNA, 274 nt
Filed under: uncultured bacterium
Lineage: Bacteria
Description: partial 16S ribosomal RNA
Rfam family: Bacterial small subunit ribosomal RNA
Source: RNAcentral